This 836-nucleotide ribosomal RNA is filed under the name Capnodium gamsii. Its description in RNAcentral is "Capnodium sp. JA-2019c partial large subunit ribosomal RNA". It matches the Rfam family "Eukaryotic large subunit ribosomal RNA", at positions 75 to 935 of the family's 3401-position model. Lineage: Eukaryota; Fungi; Ascomycota; Dothideomycetes; Capnodiales; Capnodiaceae. The record is from RNAcentral.
UUGCCCUAGUAACGGCGAGUGAAGCGGCAAUAGCUCAGAUUUGAAAUCUGGCGUCUUUGGCGUCCGAGUUGUAAUCUGUAGAGGAUGCCUUUGGGUAGCCACCGGUCUAAGUCCCCUGGAACGGGGCGUCACAGAGGGUGAGAAUCCCGUAUGUGACCGGAAGGGCACCCUCCACAAGGCUCCUUCGACGAGUCGAGUUGUUUGGGAAUGCAGCUCUAAAUGGGAGGUAAAUUCCUUCUAAAGCUAAAUACCGGCCAGAGACCGAUAGCGCACAAGUAGAGUGAUCGAAAGAUGAAAAGCACUUUGGAAAGAGAGUUAAAAAGCACGUGAAAUUGUUGAAAGGGAAGCGCUUGCAACCAGACUUGUUGGCGGUGUUCCGCCGGUCUUCUGACCGGUCCACUCACCGUCUGCAGGCCAGCAUCAUCUGGGGCCGCCGGAUAAAAGCGAGGGGAAUGUGGCUCCCCCGGGAGUGUUAUAGCCCCUCGUGCAAUACGGCGAGCCUCGGGUGAGGUCCGCGCUUCGGCUAGGAUGCUGGCGUAAUGGUCGUAAGCGGCCCGUCUUGAAACACGGACCAAGGAGUCUAACAUCUAUGCGAGUGUUCGGGUGUCAAACCCCUACGCGUAAUGAAAGUGAACGGAGGUGGGAGCCUUAGGGUGCACCAUCGACCGAUCCUGAUGUCUUCGGAUGGAUUUGAGUAAGAGCAUAGCUGUUGGGACCCGAAAGAUGGUGAACUAUGCCUGGAUAGGGUGAAGCCAGAGGAAACUCUGGUGGAGGCUCGCAGCGGUUCUGACGUGCAAAUCGAUCGUCAAAUUUGGGUAUAGGGGCGAAAGACUAAU